AAAAGGAACCUAAUGGAUCGUACACCGUGUAAGGCAGAGAUUGAAGAAACAACGGAGAUGAGUAAGGAUAAUUAAAUGGUUUAAUUAUUUAUGGCAAGGAUUAAUUAAUAUGUUAAUUAAUCAAACGAAUAAAGUUCGUUAAAGACCUCGGGUUAGUUUUGGGCCUCAAGGCCUAAUGGGCUUCGAACGUCAAGCCCAUUGACUUAAGUUGUAUGACAACUUAAUGACUAAUAAUUCACAAAGGCCCAAAUAGCCCAAUAAAACCCUAUGGCCGGCCAUAUAGAUAAAGGAGUGGGUUUUGGACUUAUUACAAGUUUGCCACUCCAAUGAAGGUAGAUAUAAAUAUGACUUUAUAGCUAUUUCUUCAUUAGGGUUUCUUUUGGAGAACAGAUGAGAACACAAACUCUCUUUUCUCUCUAAGAGGCCGGCCACCCUAGAGGAACCUAGCUAGCAAUCUUACUUCCUCUAGGUCACUCAUUUCUUUAUCAAUCUUUCCUUGGUGUGGAGACUUAGAGGUUCUCAACUUUGAGAACUUAGAGAAACCAAUUCUUCCAUCCAAAUCCAUGGAGCUAAGAAGCAAGGAAU
Molecule: long non-coding RNA, 585 nt
Filed under: Malus domestica (apple)
Lineage: Eukaryota; Viridiplantae; Streptophyta; Magnoliopsida; Rosales; Rosaceae
Description: long non-coding RNA (MDOM_LNC019255)
Source: RNAcentral